UUUAUAUUUUUUUGCUAAUAAUAAUAAUAUCAAUAAUAGAUUUAGAGAGAGAUUAUGCUAGAGAGAUAAACAAAACUCUAAUAUUAUGCAUAGAGAGUAGGAAGGUUAAUGUUUUGCUUAGGUGAGGAGGAAGAGUUGGUUGAGGUCUUCUCUUACUGUGUGAAGGGGAAUGGAGAUGGUUUGAUGUAGCAGGUUUGGAAUUAGAGGGAUGUGGGCUUUUUGGAAGUGGUUGGAGAUGUGCUUGUUUGCUGGAAGUGCAGAUAUGGCCUGCUUGAGGAGAUCGGGUAGAGAACAAGGACCAGGAGAGUCUUCAGGUGGAUGAUGAAUUGGGUGGUGAGGUUGAUUAGAAGGGUUUUGUUUUGUGUAUAGGAAGCUGUGAAUGUUGGAGUUAUGCGGCUGUUUUGGUGUUGAGAAGAUUAUGCUGAGAGCUAUUGUGAGUGGUAGAAAGAGAAGUGUUGGCGAGGAAAUGGGCUGGCCGGUGAUGGGCUGCCUGCAGGGAUGAGUUUGAGAGGAAGAAGAGGUGGAGGGCUGUUGUUAUGCACGGGUGAGAGGAGUAUGUGGGCUGGUGGUGUUCGUCUAUAGCAAGGAGGAGAUGGGGCUUCUUUGCGUGAAGCAGAGGAGGGAGCUGUGUGAGUUCGGGUAGGAGAGCAGAGGGGACAUGCGGGUGGAAGAGGAUAGGGGGCUGCUGUAGCUUCACGUGAGGGAGUAGUAGCUUGCGGCUUGCUGGUGUUGGCUGCUUGGACGCAUGGAGAAGAGUGAAGCUGGGUAGGUUGCCGUUUGGGAGGAGGGGCUGGAGCAGGUAAGUGGAGAGGUGAGGGCUGGAGCAGGUUUGUUGAGGAGCAAAGAGGAGAAUGGGAUGGGGAGAGGUUUCUGCGUGUGUGAGAGCUUCCAACAGAGAGAGCUGGAGCCAUCUCCUGCCAACAAUCUAAAAUGUGGUCGGCCCUUGUGUUGAGAUGCCAUCGCUAGAGAAGCCCGUGACAAUGAGAAUUAUGGCUUUCUUGGCGUCGUCAUUUUGUGAGGAGCUGGAGCCAUCUCCUCCACACUGGGCGCCCUCUCUUGAUAUGCAGCAACUUCCCAACUUGCUUUCCUUUUACUGCUAGUUUUGCCAUAACUUACAGCUUGGCAACCUGAGCGUCCCUUGUGGUCAAUAAUGAAGGGUCGUCGAUGGAAAAUUCCUUAUCUAAAACACCUUAAAAGAACAUCUUGGAGCCUAUCAUGGAGAGUCAUUGUCUUUGUGUACAAGCUGGAGCCCAUUACAUUAAAUUUAACACUUUAAACUCACUCAAAGGAUGUUUCAGUAGCUCGUUCAAAGAGAGGCAUUUAAUUGGCUCAUUUGCAGAGGAUGCUCAACCACCAGAUAGGGCAUGCUUUAAAGAUUGCAAAUAAUUUUUUCGUACAUUUUCUUGCUUGAGCAAUCAACUUGUCUUCUAUGGUGGUCACGAUGACCUUCGUGGAAGCCACCUCCUCUGCAGGCGCUACUUCCACUGGACGCACAAGAGGUACUGGCCUCUGUAACCUCAUAUUCAGUGGAAGAUCCUCAGAAUUGGUAGAAAGUAUCACUCUCCCAGGACUCUUUGUACCUCCACCACCAAUAGUAACUUCGAGGGGACUCGCUGCCUUGGUCGACAAAGGCAUAGCCGCCUUCAUUAGACAUGGCUCUAUUUUUUGUCUCUUCAAGGGGGAGGGGCGGCUAGCCCGAAGGAUCCUGCAUGUUUGAGGAUUAGCAUCGGCCUCUUUCUCUUUGCUCGGAACUAAGGUUCAACUAAAGUGUUCAAGGGAGUAAAGAGCUUCAGCACGAGAUAGCUUCUUAUGGGAACGGGUUGUGAAUAGUGUCACAUCUUUUUAUUAUGAAGAAUCUAUGCAACAACUGUAGCUACAAUAAAAACAUGGUGGUAACUUUGUAUUUA
This is a long non-coding RNA of Dendrobium catenatum, 1907 nucleotides long. RefSeq lists it as uncharacterized. The record is from RefSeq and is a predicted model, not a curated record. The transcript is spliced from 2 exons. NCBI's taxonomy places the organism in Eukaryota, Viridiplantae, Streptophyta, Magnoliopsida, Asparagales, Orchidaceae.